UACGUAGGGUGCGAGCGUUAAUCGGAAUUACUGGGCGUAAAGCGUGCGCAGGCGGUUCGUUGUGUCCGGUGUGAAAGCCCCGGGCUCAACCUGGGAAUGGCAGUGGAAACUAGGGGACUGGAAUCUGGCAGAGGGGGGUGGAAUGCCGCGUGUAGCAGUGAAAUGCGUAGAGAUGCGGCGGAACACCGAUGGCGAAGGCAGCCCCCUGGGCUGAGAUUGACGCUCAGGCACGAAAGCGUGGGGAGCAAACAGG
Molecule: ribosomal RNA, 253 nt
Filed under: uncultured bacterium
Lineage: Bacteria
Description: partial 16S ribosomal RNA
Rfam family: Bacterial small subunit ribosomal RNA
Source: RNAcentral